Molecule: small nucleolar RNA, 106 nt
Organism: Naumovozyma castellii
Lineage: Eukaryota; Fungi; Ascomycota; Saccharomycetes; Saccharomycetales; Saccharomycetaceae
Rfam family: Small nucleolar RNA snR64
About the family: snR64 is a member of the C/D class of snoRNA which contain the C (UGAUGA) and D (CUGA) box motifs. Most of the members of the box C/D family function in directing site-specific 2'-O-methylation of substrate RNAs.
Source: Rfam
UUUAUAUGAUGAGUAACCAGAUAGGGACAACAGAUCUCAAUUGAAGUGACGAGGAAAGUCUUAUAAAGUCCAGUUUUUAGUAGAGCUUCGGACGCCAAUUCUGAUA